UAGGGAAUAUUGGACAAUGGGCGCAAGCCUGAUCCAGCCAUGCCGCGUGAGUGAAGAAGGCCCUCGGGUUGUAAAGCUCUUUUGUCCGGAAAGAAAAGCAUCGGGUUAAUACCCCGGUGUUCUGACGGUACCGGAAGAAUAAGCACCGGCUAACUUCGUGCCAGCAGCCGCGGUAAUACGAAGGGUGCAAGCGUUACUCGGAAUUACUGGGCGUAAAGCGUGCGUAGGUGGUUCGUUAAGUCUGAUGUGAAAGCCCUGGGCUCAACCUGGGAAUGGCAUUGGAAACUGGCGGACUGGAGUGCGGUAGAGGGUAGCGGAAUUCCAGGUGUAGCAGUGAAAUGCGUAGAGAUCGGGAGGAACAUCCGUGGCGAAGGCGGCUACCUGGACCAGCACUGACACUGAGGCACGAAAGCGUGGGGAGCAAACA
RNAcentral lists this ribosomal RNA (427 nucleotides) under uncultured bacterium. RNAcentral's name for it is "bacterial SSU rRNA". It matches the Rfam family "Bacterial small subunit ribosomal RNA", at positions 355 to 774 of the family's 1533-position model. The record is from RNAcentral.